RNAcentral lists this ribosomal RNA (497 nucleotides) under uncultured bacterium. Its description in RNAcentral is "partial 16S ribosomal RNA". It matches the Rfam family "Bacterial small subunit ribosomal RNA", at positions 28 to 507 of the family's 1533-position model. The record is from RNAcentral.
GAUGAACGCUGGCGGCGUGCCUAAUACAUGCAAGUCGAGCGAAAAGACGAGGAGCUUGCUCCUCUGACGUUAGCGGCGGGCGUGUGAGUAACACGUGGAUAACCUACCUAUAGGACUGGGAUAACUUCGGGAAACCGGAGCUAAUACCGGAUAAUAUAUUGAACCGCAGGGUUCAAUAGUGAAAGACGGUUUUGCUGUCACUUAUAGAUGGAUCCGCGCCGGAUUAGCUAGUUGGUAAGGUAACGGCUUACCAAGGCAACGAUGCGUAGCCGACCUGAGAGGGUGAUCAGCCACACUGGAACUGAGACACGGUCCAGACUCCUACGGGAGGCAGCAGUAGGGAAUCUUCCGCAAUGGGCGAAAGCCUGACGGAGCAACGCCGCGUGAGUGAUGAAGGUCUUCGGAUCGUAAAACUCUGUUAUUAGGGACGAACAGAUGUUUAAGUAACUAUGCACGUCUUGACGGUACCUAAUCAGAAAGCCACGGCUAACUACGUG